Molecule: ribosomal RNA, 883 nt
Filed under: Aceria fraxiniflora
Lineage: Eukaryota; Metazoa; Arthropoda; Arachnida; Trombidiformes; Eriophyidae
Description: partial large subunit ribosomal RNA
Rfam family: Eukaryotic large subunit ribosomal RNA
Source: RNAcentral
AAAUAGAACUUUGCAGAGAGAGUUAACAGGGCGUGAAACCGUUAAUUGGCAAACGAAUCGGAGCCACGAAGUCGUUUCGUAGUUAGUUGGUGGCGGAGUUCAGUUCAUCUGGCGCAAGCUGGAUGGGCGUAUUCUCACGCUCAACUAUCUUUGUAAGCGUACACUGCAACCAGUUAGACGAUCAGUCGUGGGCUGAGUGUCGUUCGCGGUAGUAGUAGCGCGGUUGAGCUCCGGCUCUUCUCGUGUUGCUGGCCGCGUGACGAGUGAACUACGGCUGAAUACUGACUGGCGAAAUGAAAACCGUUGAAAAACGUUAGAGAAAAGGCGGUUGGUAACAUGUGCGCCUACACGUUUGACUGUCGAGUCUAAGCUUGGCGUCUUUGAAUUCAGACUUGCUUGCUACCAGUGGGGCAACUCCUGGUGCUUGUAUAGCUUCUGUCUAAUCGGGCGUCGACUUGGCGCGGCAUCGUUUAGGCGUGCUAUGAUCGGGUGUGCAUGUUAACUAAUUCGCAAUCUGAAUUGGCAGUGAGUAGGUCGGCUUUCCGAACGACCCGUCUUGAAACACGGACCAAGGAGUCUAAUUAGGCAUCGAGUCGAUUGGUCUUGAAUAGGCCAGAAAGUGAGUUUCCUUGCGAUUGAAGGCGUAGAGACAAUCGUGUGAUCGUUGGCAACAACAGCCACUGCGCGCAACAUGUGCCUGUUCGUAUAGCAAUGUAGCAAUAAUUGCUGGGCGGAGCAAAGAGAUGCUUGAUUGGGACCCGAAAGAUGGUGAUGCCUGGGCAAAUUGAAGCCAGAGGAAACUCUGGUGGAGGAUUGUAGCGAUUCUGACGUGCAAAUCGAUCGUCAGACCUGGGUAUAGGGGCGAAAGACUAAUCGAACCAUC